RNAcentral lists this ribosomal RNA (459 nucleotides) under uncultured bacterium. RNAcentral's name for it is "partial 16S ribosomal RNA". It matches the Rfam family "Bacterial small subunit ribosomal RNA", at positions 338 to 795 of the family's 1533-position model. The record is from RNAcentral.
CCUACGGGCGGCAGCAGUGAGGAAUAUUGGUCAAUGGCCGGAAGGCUGAACCAGCCAAGCCGCGUGAAGGACGAAGGUGCCAAGCAUUGUAAACUUCUUUUGUCAAGGGACAAAAUCAGGCUCGAGAGCCUGACCGAGGGUACUUGAAGCAAAAGCAUCGGCUAACUCCGUGCCAGCAGCCGCGGUAAUACGGAGGAUGCGAGCGUUAUCCGGAUUUAUUGGGUUUAAAGGGUGCGUAGGCGGGCUGUUAAGUCAGCGGUAAAAGCCCGGGGCUCAACCCCGGCGAGCCGUUGAAACUGGCUGUCUAGAGAUGUCGAGAGGGAUGCGGAAUGCGAGGUGUAGCGGUGAAAUGCUUAGAGAUUGCGCAGAACUCCGAUUGCGAAGGCAGCAUACCGGCGGCGAUCUGACGCUGAGGCACGAAAGCGUGGGUAUCGAACAGGAUUAGAUACCCUAGUAGUC